Molecule: RNA transcript, 2897 nt
Organism: Abrus precatorius (Indian licorice)
Lineage: Eukaryota; Viridiplantae; Streptophyta; Magnoliopsida; Fabales; Fabaceae
Exons: 17
Source: RefSeq, a predicted model, not a curated record
AUGAUCCGCACCUCCUCCCCCUUAGAAGCAACUCAGUGAGUCAAACUGGUGGACCCCUCGUCUCCAUCCACCUCCACUCCCUCCGUUCCCCAUUCCCCUUCUCAAUCAGAAUCAUCUCUGUAAUUCUCCCCAAAACCCUAACCCUAACCCUUCCCUUCAAUUCCACCCCAAUUCCCAUGGACUCCACCACCAACGUCUUGCCGGAUUCCCAAAACGACGGCAGCAAAACGCAGCCGCAGAGAGUGAACGGUUACAUCGUCUACACUAGAAGAAAGAGGCUCAAAACCAAGUGUGAAAGCCAAGUUCAUGAAAACGAUGCCGUUGCAAAUGCGGAUAGCAAAUUGGAAUUGAAGACGUCGAAGAAGAUCAUCUUGGUCAACAAGAAGCCAAUGACCGUCAAAGAACUCUUCCAUACAGGUUUGCUUGAUGGGGUUCCAGUUGUCUACGUCGGUUGCAAGAAGGCUUCAACUUCGGGAUUGCGGGGUGUAAUUAGAGAUGGGGGGAUAUUGUGCUCAUGCCAUCUGUGCGAUGGACUCAGAGUUAUUCCACCUUCUCAAUUCGAGAUUCAUGCUUGCAACACAUAUAAGAGGGCAGCGGAGUAUAUUUGCUUUGAAAAUGGGAAGAGCCUGCUUGAACUAUUGGGAGCUUGCAGGGCAGCUCCCCUCCAUACUUUGGAGGCGACCAUUCAAAAUUUUGUUUGUUCUCCGCCUGAGGAAAAAUAUUUUACUUGCAGAAGUUGCAGAGGAUGUUUCCCUUCUUCCAGUGUGGAAAGAGUUGGGCUUAUAUGCCGUUCUUGCAUGGAAUCAAAGAAAUCCGAAGACAGUUGUCUUCAUGUAGUUGGCAAAAGAGUCAGGUUCCCUCGGCCAGCGCUAUUCUCCAGAGCAUGUUGUACUUCUGAACUGUGUAUCUCUUCACAAACUAAAAGACACUGGAAGACAAGAACAAAGUCAUCAAAACUGUCAGUAAAAUUGAAGACUGCUCCAAUCGCUUCAAAUUCGAAGUGUUUAUCUCCCCAAAACAAAAGUCAGUGGAGGAUCACCAAAAAGCAUCAAAGAUUGAAUAAAUUAAUUUUUGAAGAAGAUGGAUUGCCUAAUGGAGCUGAAGUAGCUUAUUAUGCACGAGGGCAGAAAUUGCUUGAGGGUAUCAAAACGCAAUUUGGAAUUGUUUGUCGAUGUUGCAACACUGAGAUCAGCCCCUCACAGUUUGAGGUCCAUGCAGGGUGGGCUUCUCGCAGGAAACCGUAUGCAUACAUCUACACGUCAAAUGGGGUGUCUCUCCUAGAGUUAGCAAUAUUUCUCUCAAAAGAUCGCAAAUGCACUGCAAAAUGUAAUGAUGAUGUAUGCAUUGUUUGUUGGGAUGGUGGUAACCUGUUGCUCUGUGAUGGAUGUCAAAGGGCAUUUCAUAAAGAAUGUGCAUCUGUAUCAAGUAUUCCACGUGGUGACUGGUACUGUCAAAUUUGUCAACACAUGUACCUUGGAGAAGGGUCUAUGUUAUACAAUGCUGAUGCUGUGGCUGCUGGAAGGGUUGAAGGAGUUGAUCCUAUUGAGCAGAUUGCCAAGAGAUGCAUUCGCAUAGUAAAAGACAUUGAAGCUGAGAUGGGUGGAUGCAUUUUAUGCAGGGCUUCUGACUUCAGCAGAUCAGGCUUUGGCCCACGCACAAUUAUAAUCUGUGAUCAGUGUGAAAAGGAAUAUCAUGUUGGCUGUUUGAGCGAUCAUAAGAUGGCAUAUUUAAAGGAGUUGCCAGAAGGGGAUUGGCUUUGUUGCAAUGAUUGCACAAGAAUACAUUCUACUUUGGAGAAUCUCCUGGUUAGGGUGGCUGAGAGACUCCCUGAAUCUCUUUUGGAUGUUAUAAAGAAGAAGCAAGUGGAAAGAUGUGUAGAACCGCCUAAUGAGUUUGAUGUAAGAUGGAAACUUCUUAAUGGAAAAAUUGCUUCUCCUGAAACCAGGCCAUUGCUUUUGGAGGCUGUGUCAAUGUUUCAUAUGAAGGAGAUAAUCCCUGUUUGUUCCCCAACAAAUGGUAGAGUAGCUUUGCAUUUUUAUUAUUAAUGGUGCUAUUUUUUUUUUCACUAAAUUGAUUCUUUUUCAUCGCAUGCCUUCAGCAUGUGAUUUAACAGUCACUGGAAAGCUUAUUUAUGAAUCCAUUUUUAGGAAAGUAUUGAAAUGUUUUGCCUUCAGCAUAAAAACAUGUUCAUGCAUUUAUGAUUUGUGGGAAUUUAUUCCCUCACAGUUUCUGUUGGAUUGGUUUAUGCCAGUGUAUUUACCACUCUUGCACCAUUCAAUAACUUAAUAUAAAAGUGGCUUUGGUUUAUACCAGUGUAAACUAAUCCAUUAGCGAGAGGAUUAUUACAUGAGAGAGUGAGUAAACAUAGACCAUUAAUUAUACAUGAAUAGCUAAAAUUAAAUUAUAAAAGUCAUAUGACUUUUUUAAAUAGUCAUAUGUGACCUUUGAUUUUGACCAUUAUUGUAAGAUCUAUAGGUCUACAUUUACUCCUCUUUCUCAUACAUCAGUAUGUGUAUAUUUGUGUCUACAUUUUAUAUAAGUAUUGCUUAGGGUUCAGGGCAUUUGUUUUGUGUAUGUUGCGCAUGUAAUGAUGUGUUACAAACUUACAAUGUCUAUCUCUGCUGUAGGUAAUGAUGCCUUUCUAUUUUUGUUCGGGAAAACCCUUUUAGUUCAUAAGAUUAUUAAAAGAAAAAAAUUCGAUACAAGUAUUGGGCUUUUUGGUCUUUAGAGAUCUGUUGCAUGUUUCAGGAAUGCUUUAAUCCUAUAGUUGAUGCAGUUACUGGACGUGACCUUAUUCCUGCCAUGGUUUAUGGAAGGAAUUUGCAGACUCAGGAUUUUGGAGGAAUGUAUUGUGCAUUAUUGAUUGUCAAUUCAUCUGUGGUAUCUGCGGGUAUGCU